This 459-nucleotide ribosomal RNA is filed under the name uncultured bacterium. Its description in RNAcentral is "partial 16S ribosomal RNA". It matches the Rfam family "Bacterial small subunit ribosomal RNA", at positions 338 to 795 of the family's 1533-position model. The record is from RNAcentral.
CCUACGGGUGGCAGCAGUGAGGAAUAUUGGUCAAUGGGCGGGAGCCUGAACCAGCCAAGCCGCGUGAGGGAAGAAGGUACAGCGUAUCGUAAACCUCUUUUGUCAGGGAACAAAGGCGGGGACUAGUCCCCGGAUGAGGGUACCUGAAGAAAAAGCAUCGGCUAACUCCGUGCCAGCAGCCGCGGUAAUACGGAGGAUGCGAGCGUUAUCCGGAUUUAUGGGGUUUAAAGGGUGCGUGGGCGGCCUGGUAAGUCAGCGGUAAAAGCCCGGGGCUCAACCCCGGCGUGCCGUUGAAACUGGCGGGCUGGAGUGGGGGUGAAGUAGGCGGAAUGCGCGGUGUAGCGGUGAAAUGCUUAGAUAUCGCACAGAACACCGAUUGCGAAGGCAGCGUACCGGCUCCACACUGACGCUGAGGCACGAAAGCGUGGGUAUCGAACAGGAUUAGAUACCCUGGUAGUC